UUGAUGAACUGUUUAUAUCAGUACACAACUUUAGAGGUCAAAAACGACAACCACAUGACGAGUAACAAAAACCAUAACCGAGAACCACAAAGAACAUUUCAAUCAAAGUCAUACAAUUAAGGCAUAACAACACAUAAUUCAGAACAAGAUCAUUCAAUUUAAAUAACUAAAAUACUAAAUUAACUAACUCCUCCAGUUUCCACCGUCAGAACCACCACCA
RNAcentral lists this long non-coding RNA (220 nucleotides) under Trifolium pratense (red clover). RNAcentral's name for it is "long non-coding RNA (TPRA_LNC006964)". The record is from RNAcentral. Lineage: Eukaryota; Viridiplantae; Streptophyta; Magnoliopsida; Fabales; Fabaceae.